GCCGGGCGCGGUGGCGCACGCCUGUAAUCCUAGCUACUUGGGAGGCUGAGGCCGGCGGAUCGCUUGAGCUCAGGAGUUCUGGGCUGCAGUGGGCUAUGCCGAUCGGGUGUCCGCACUAAGUUCGGCAUCAAUAUGGUGAUCCCUGGGAAGCUCGGGGUCACCAGGUUGCCUAAGGAGGGGUGAACCGGCCCAGGCCGGAAACGGAGCAGGUCAAAACUCCCGUGCCGAUCAGUAGUGGGAUCGCGCCUGUGAAUAGCCACUGCAGCGUAGCCUGGGCAAGACAGUGAGACACGGUCUCUU
RNAcentral lists this signal recognition particle RNA (300 nucleotides) under Chelydra serpentina (North American snapping turtle). RNAcentral describes it as "Metazoan signal recognition particle RNA (ENSCSRG00000019090.1)". It matches the Rfam family "Metazoan signal recognition particle RNA". From Rfam's summary of the family: The signal recognition particle (SRP) is a universally conserved ribonucleoprotein. It is involved in the co-translational targeting of proteins to membranes. The record is from Rfam by way of RNAcentral. Lineage: Eukaryota; Metazoa; Chordata; Testudines; Chelydridae.